UUUUUUUUUAGGUCUGUUUGAGUUUAUUUUAUAGAUUCAAAAUAUAUGUUUCUCAUUGUUUUUAACCGUAUAAGAGUGAUUUUAUAUGGAUCGAAACAGUAAUCAAAUGAUUUACCGUAGUUUCACUUUCAUUGUUGACAUUCUUUUUCUUUAAAUAACCAGUACACGUACAAUGCAUGCGUUGUCAAUCUCUAGCAAGGGGUUAAAUUGAAGUUCACAUGAAUACGGAUUUAAUGAGGUCGACUAAUUCACUUGCAAGUGAAUGAGUAAUUAUCAAUGUUUCUUCGCUUU
Molecule: long non-coding RNA, 291 nt
Filed under: Mytilus galloprovincialis (Mediterranean mussel)
Lineage: Eukaryota; Metazoa; Mollusca; Bivalvia; Mytilida; Mytilidae
Source: RNAcentral